This 253-nucleotide ribosomal RNA is filed under the name uncultured bacterium. RNAcentral describes it as "partial 16S ribosomal RNA". It matches the Rfam family "Bacterial small subunit ribosomal RNA", at positions 524 to 776 of the family's 1533-position model. The record is from RNAcentral.
UACGUAGGGGGCAAGCGUUGUCCGGAUUUAUUGGGCGUAAAGAGCGUGUAGGCGGCCAGGUAGGUCUGGUGUGAAAACUCGAGGCUUAACCUCGAGAUGUCAUCGGAAACCAUCUGGCUAGAGUCCGGAAGAGGAGAGUGGAAUUCCUGGUGUAGCGGUGAAAUGCGCAGAUAUCAGGAAGAACACCCGUGGCGAAGGCGGCUCUCUGGGACGGUACUGACGCUGAGACGCGAAAGCGUGGGGAGCGAACAGG